UUCAUUUUAGCGGAUAGACCCAAACUAAGUGCGCCAAUGAUAGGACAUAUGGGGAUAGGGCACCUCCACUGAAAUGAACAAUGAAUUCCAUUAACAUGUCUUGGUGAAAACAAUAUUUAUCAGGGCAUGUGAUAAUGCAAUGCCCAACAAAUCCCCACUGAAUCAAACAAAAACAUACCCAAACAACAAGCUAUAUGAUUAUUUCACCAGUACAAGCACAAUAUGACUAGAAUUUUUAAAUUAAAGAAUUCCAGCCUAUUAAUUCAUUUUUUUCAAAAAUGAAACAGCAACAAAAUAAACCAGCCUAUCUAUAGAUUAUUAUUUUUUAAAUAAAUCAUGAGGCAAUGAUGGUUUACAUGACCAGAUAGGUAUGGAAUUUGUAGGGGGAGCAGGUUUUGCAUAGCUAUUUUGGAACACUUUUCUAAUUCAUCAGUACCAAAUUUUAUCCUAGUGAAUUUGGUGUAUUAAGCAAUGUCAGGUUUCCUUUGAUCUUAUUUGAGAUUUUAAGCCUAGCUAGUUGGUUUUUCCCCCUGAACAGUUUCUAAACUGGAUAUUGUUCAAUUCUCCAUCUAUAAGUGCUUCCAAAAUGUUAAUUUGUGACAAGAAUAAUCAGAUAUGUGUUUAGGGGAUUUUUACUGCUGGAUUGGUGCUAGCCAAAUAAUAAUUCUGAAACAGGAAUAUUUUUGCCUUCCUCUAUUUUUGUUGAUCUUUCUCUUGGGAGUAUAAAUUUUAAUUCUAGAAGAAUAUUAGAAUAUCGCCUGCAGAAACAUUAGGUUAGGUCAUAGUGCAAUUUAAUACGAGAUGCAACUCACCUAACAAAACAAUGUUUAAUAGUGGUAUCUUCUAAAAGAAACGUAUCAGUGGCAUUGAUAAUAAAAGCAAUAAUAUUUAUAGUACAUGGUAUAGUAUCAUUUUUUUCCAGAAAAAAAGUGUGAAAUGAUGGCAUUUGAAACAAUUAAGACAUAAAUUAAAUCCAAUACUUGAAUUCCAAAUGUAAUAGGGACCGAAAAGUGGCCUCAUGUGAAAAGGCUACACACUGCAAUUACAGGUAUUUCAGCACUGUGGAAUAGAUCAUAGGACUUUCACAACAAAGAAAUAGUGAAAGCAGACAUGAUACCAGCUCUAAAGUGUUCACACCUUCAAAUAUGAUGAUAAUCUCGGAAAGAUGCUUUGGACAGAAUUAUUUAAGUCAUCAGAAAGAAACCUUACCGUCAAAGAUAUGGAUAUUCCUGACGUUACCAAUCUAACAUGGAUCCUCUGAAGGAUAUUUGUAGAAAAGUAAUUGAGGGUGACUUUGCCAUCCCAGUGAGGAAAACAUUGCAAGAGAAAAUAAAGUGACGGAAUCGUGCUGUAAUGCUGCCACUGUGACUUAAACUUCAGUAUGCCUUAUUUAAGGUACCAGAGAGGUGGACAGCAUACUCUUCCUUUCUCUCAUUCUUUCUUUCCUUUCUUCCUGAUUUCCUUCCUUAUUUUUUCAAGGCCUUUUCUUCCCAUUCCACAUUGUUUGUUUUUUCAGUUGUUAACAAUGUCAUGUUGACUCCUAAUUAAAACUGUAAAAUAAAUUACUCUAGGCAUCUUGUAGUUUGUUUUCAUUUGCCUUGCUCAGUUCUACAAGCUGGCUCAUGUGUUUGCAGAAUUGCACCAUAACUUACUAUAAUGUUUGGAAGAUUGAUUCCCCAUCUCCAAAUUCCAUCUCUUCAAAUGCUGGCUCAAAUCUAGCACAUUUUGUUUCCACUUAUUUUCUCAAUUCUGAAAACCUUCCAUGUUUUCAGAAUGAAAUAACUUUUUUUUUUUUUGAAAAAUAAAUACUGUGUUUCUAAAAUAACUGUUGCUUCUGCAAUGUAAAAUAUCUCUUGUGUUGUAAGAUUACAAACAUAUGGAGCAUCUAUGCAUACAUUCACACAUAAUAUUUUUUUUCAUCUGCAUCUGGGGAUUUGUCAUUCCAUGUGAUGGAGUAAGGUAUAAUCUAGCAUUAGAUAACAAUGUUAUCAUGAGGUUAUCUUAUCCCAGGAGCUGGUUGUUUGGAAUGACUAAUUUAGAAUGACUUUUCCUUUGGUUCUUCAUUCGAUAGAAACCACAUUACAGAAAGGAAGGAUGAGAUUGGGGGUCAGUAUGUUCAUAAAGCUUCCCAGUAGAAUUAAUUCAGCAGCAAUAUUAGUAAAUAUUCCCAAAAGGCAGAUAGUCUAAAAUUUGGCCAGCAAAGAAUUAAUGGAUCCCUAGAUACGAUUCAAAUGAAUAUCAAGUGAUUCAACCUGUGUGGCUCUGUGUUCCCUAAGUCUUAAACGUUUUUACUAAAAACUAUUCUUGAAGCACGGCAUAUGUAUCUAAUAUGACCCAGUCAUCUCUUAUUAGUUUCUGCCCAUUGAUUAUAGUAUAAUUUAUUAAUCUAUAAAUAUUAUCUUUCAUGCAUUAGAGUGAAAUCUGAUUACUGAAGCACACAUCAUAUUUUCCAGAUACCUUUUUAAUUUGCACCUCUUCCAGAUAAGAGGUAUAUAGGUGUUAAGAUGUUAGGUGACAGGAUUUGUAAAUCUGUUGCUUUCAAAUUAAUAUUUGGUAUUAGUUUCAUAUACCAUUUCCCCCACCCUGUACAAUGAUUCUAUCCUGUACAAUGUCUGAUUUGAGGUGUGCCAAGAAAUGCAAGCAUCUCCUCCCAGUUCUCUUAAACAGACUAUACAUUUUUGAAGCCCUCUUGCAUAAUCUGAAAUAGUCAACCUCUUACGUUGGGCUGUACGGUUGCAUACUUUACAAUACACUGUCUUAAUUUCAUUUAUCUUACAGUUUGGCUUGAUUCAGACCUCACACCAAAGCAUGCUUUGCACUAAUUGUAGUUUAGAACCCAAACCAUGGUUUUAGCUUCCAAAUGUAAAGACAAAGCAUGAGUUAGAGCUGCUUGUUUGCUUUUGUUUGCUCUGCUACAUCAUGUCAGUUCCUUCUCAUGUGGGGCAAAUAUAGGUAACUGCCUAGGUCCAGUGCUCUCAGGGGCCCACACCUUUACACAGCACGCAUUUCUACAGGUCCUGUACAUGGACAAAUAGCAGGCCAGUGGCUAGGCAGAAACCAUGCAUUCAGUCACUCUUUUGUGGCUCCAGGAAAUGCAGGCAUGGGGUAGGGGCAUGCCUGCAUUAAGAGAAAACUAUUUCCAAUAAACGAAGACAGAAAAGUUAUUAUUUUCCCUCUCCCAUGCGGGGUAGGGGGAGUAUUGUUAUUUUUACCCUACUUACUUUGCGUCUCAUCCCAUGUUGAAUUCCAAGAAUGUGAGGCAACCACAUUCACCUAUUUAAACUGCAUUUGAGGCUCGCAAAUCCUGAAUCCAACUAAUUCAAUAAUAUUUACUUGCGUACAACCAAAUAUCGUUGUGAGUAAUCCUACAUAAAUGGCAUUAUACUAAAGACCUUUACUUUUAAUAGUGAAAGUUAUUACUAGUGCACUCUCUGCUCUUUUCUGUUUCUUGGAGUGGGGAUGGAAUGGGACAGAAUUUCUUACUAAAAUCUAGUAUGUUGAAACUGUUUUAUAAGGCCACGUGUUAUAUUUAUAAUGUAUGAAUAAUAAAGGUGUGAAAAGAGAAUAUUAAUUCUACAUUUUGCUGUUUCUAAAGCUAUCUUAUAGAGUAAGUGGUUAAGGUGUAUGUCCUAGAAAUGCUUUGUAUAGAGUUCUAGAUUCAAACUCAGGCACCUGUCUAAAAGCUUUAUUUGAUUUAUUUUUUACAUUUGUAUCCCACCUUUCCUCCAAGGUAGAGUACAUGAUUCCUGCCCUUCCCUUCACAGCAGCCCUGUGACAUAGGUUAGGUUGAGAAGCACUAACUGGCCCAAAUAUCACCCAGUGAGCUUCUUUCCUCUGUGGAUAUUUGAACCUGAGUAUUCCAGAUUCUGCUCUGGUACUAACCACUACAUCACACUAGCUUUUAGGUGUCAUCCAGAUGUUUUCUCAAGACAUCCAAUUGUGGUUUCUCUACCUCCUGGUUUAGUUGAAUUUCACAUGUAUAAAAAUGUCAUGAAAGUUAAACAAUGUACUUUGUCCUGCAUCGUGCACACCCUAGGAAAGACCUCCUAUCAUGCUAAACCAUAAUAGCAGAAACCAUGGCUUGCAAGACCAGUUCAUACCAUGGUUUCUUAUAUGAUUUGCUGGAUAAUCACAGGCUAUGUGUUGUCAAUUCAGGCAUCACAUCAUGCUUUGAUUUGUGUCUGAAUUUGAGUCAUUAUGUCUGAUUCCAGAUUUAGAUUAUUUUAUCUUGAUACCAUCAAUUCAUCUUUAGUAGCAUUCUUUUUGUAAAUUACAGAAUUUCUAUGUACAAAAUAUCAGACUCCCCUGAGAUAACAUUUUUAUGUUAUACAUUUCACAUAUGGAGAGAAUCUGUGUUUUGUGUCUUAAAAUGUCAUAUAAAAUAAGAAUAAUUCGAUUGCAUUCAUUUUUGGCAUCUGUAAAAAGCUUGCAAAUGUUAAAUAAAUUAGCCACAAACUGAAUAUGGUAUCAGUGGUUAUUUCUUGUGAGCAAAUGUAAUUAACUGUCUGACCCGUAACUAUUUUAAGUUUGCUUUAUUAAACUUUGUUAACAAAUAAAAUUUAUGUAAUAAUAAAAGAGGAAAAUUGUUCUUUUUAUAAUCAAAUAAGUUAAUCUUACAUACAUUUCAAACAGCACUAACAUUUCCCCCCUUGCUUUUCCCAUUCAGGACUAUCCUUUUCUGGAACCAAUCUAAGCUUAAACACUUGAAUUUGUGCUUUUUCAAUCUUUGAAUUAGUCAAUGAAACCAUACUGGUUGAUAUGCAAAUAUUCAAGGUUUACUGAGUUAUAGAUCAGGCUAUAACAUCCUUUUUCUUAAUUUUAAAAUUACAUCUUAAUGCUAGUCAGCUGUUUAAGAGAUGCCAUGUCUAAUACACAUACACAAUGCAUUGAGAAACUAUCUCAAUUUACCUGUCAAUGUAGACUUUAAAUUAAAGUAUAUAUAGACAUGGAAUAGAUCUAUGUUGGACAGCCCCCACAACAAGGUGGGGAGCACUUUCAAGUGAAGUGAGUUUCCAUUUGAAGCUGUCACUUUUAUAUCUUGCUCUUAAGUACAUUGGGUGACUAUAUUGGGCUGAAAUUCAAAAUUUCUGCCUUGUUUCCCUGUGUACACCAAGAUUUCCGGUUUCCACAUUUCACAGCAGCCUUCGGUGUCUCCCUGAGAAGCCUCUUAGGAAGAUUAGAUGAUUGUCCAGUGGGGUAUCUAGCGUAGUGCAAAGGACCGCAGCUGAAAGCAAAACUCAGCAGUAUCUCACGUGUUUACAGAAGCACUUCAAUCACAUCAGCACAGAUGUAUUUGGCUCCUGGCCAUAAUCACUCCAAAGUACCAUUACUGUUGUUGGGGUUUUUUGGCUAAUCUUGAAGCCGUAUUCUGAUGAUCCCUCGUACCUACAGGACCGCUUCUCCUGGUAUGUCCCACG
Molecule: long non-coding RNA, 5417 nt
Organism: Podarcis raffonei (Aeolian wall lizard)
Lineage: Eukaryota; Metazoa; Chordata; Lepidosauria; Squamata; Lacertidae
Exons: 3
Source: RefSeq, a predicted model, not a curated record